AUUCUAUUUGGCUUAAUUUUUUUGUUGCUUGUGUUAUUGUUUUUAUUGAAUUAUCUUAUUGUUGUUGUAUGGAUUUUAGAUUUGAUUUUUUGUUUUAUAGUUUACUUGUACUGUAGGGGGUGGUUAUGGUUUAGUUAGUAAAAGCUUGCUUGUUUUGUUUUACCUUGUGUAUCAGGGUUUAUUAAAUUUUAUUAUGGAUUUAUGUAUUUCCCGAUUCUGAAUGAUCUAAUGAUUUAUUUUAGUUACUGUUGCAUAAGUAUUAAGGAUAUUUUGUUAGUAGUGAUAUGUUUUCGUUUUCGGUGGUUUCUGGUUUUCUGAGAAAUGAAUUUAAUUCAUGCAUCUUGUUUAGUUAUUCUUAGUUAUUUAGUUUUUCUUUAUUUGAUGUAAAUAUUUUGGGGGAUUAGCUCUGAUUUAUAUUUUUAUAACUUUGUUCUCCUUUUUACUUUUGUGGGUUUUAUGGUAACUAUCAUUUUAAUUAUGUUAAAAUUUAAUUAUUCCUUUUUAUUUCUUUUUAUUUUUGUUUAAUUUUUUAUUGGGAUUUUUCUUUUAAUUAUUUAUUGUUUGUAAUUAUGAUGGAAUUAGUAUAUUUAUUUUGUUUUUUUUGUUUUCUUUAUGUUAGUUUUUUCUAAGGAAUUAGGCAAAUUAUUUGCGUCCGCCUGUUUAACAAAAACAACUCCUCUUGUUUAAGUUUUGAGGUAGGGCCUGCCCGCUGAGUUUUACUUGAAGGGCCGCGGUAUACUGACCGUGCAAAGGUAGCAUAGUCAUUAGUCUUUUAAUUGUAGGCUGGUAUGAAUGGUUUGACGAGAUGCAAUCUGUCUUGGAUUGAUUUGUUUAUUGAACUUGGGUUUUAGGUAAAAAUACCUAAAUUUUUUUGUGGGACGAGAAGACCCUAUAGAGUUUUAUUUGAUCUUAAUUUAUUUUGUUUGUUUUGUUUUAUAGUUAGGCUUUAAUUUUGCUGGGGCGGUGUGAAGAUUUAUUUAACUCUUCUUUUUAUUUGUAUAUAGAUUAAUAUUUUGUUGAUCCUUUAUUAUUGAUUUUAAGACUAAAUUACCUUAGGGAUAACAGCGUAAUCUAUCUUGAGAGUUCUUAUUGACAGAUGGGUUUGCGACCUCGAUGUUGGAUUAGGAUAAAUUUUUGGUGUAGCAGCUAUAGUAAUUAGGUCUGUUCGACCUUUAAAAUCUUACAUGAUCUGAGUUCAGACCGGCGUGAGCCAGGUCGGUUUCUAUCUAUAAUAACUUAUAGGGACUUAGUACGAAAGGACCAGUUUCUAGGAAUAAUUUUGUUUUUAUGAUUGUCAUUAAUU
This 1303-nucleotide ribosomal RNA is filed under the name Porotermes adamsoni (Australian dampwood termite). Its description in RNAcentral is "16S ribosomal RNA". The stretch from base 872 to 1232 matches the Rfam family "Archaeal large subunit ribosomal RNA", at positions 2150 to 2716 of the family's 2987-position model. The record is from RNAcentral. Lineage: Eukaryota; Metazoa; Arthropoda; Insecta; Blattodea; Termopsidae.